This 20-nucleotide ribosomal RNA is filed under the name Trametes sanguinea. Its description in RNAcentral is "partial 18S ribosomal RNA". Lineage: Eukaryota; Fungi; Basidiomycota; Agaricomycetes; Polyporales; Polyporaceae. The record is from RNAcentral.
AACGAGUUCUGAAAGGGGUU